GGUCGUGUGGCCCAAUGGGUACGAAACCUCAAACAGCUCCUCUUCGACCUAAUCACACUAACAAUUCCUCCAGCAAGGCGUCUGACUACGAAUCAGAAGAUUGUGGGUUCGAUCCCCAUCAUGAUCA
This 127-nucleotide transfer RNA is filed under the name Fusarium vanettenii 77-13-4. RNAcentral describes it as "tRNA-Arg (ACG) (tRNA-Arg-ACG-3-1)". It matches the Rfam family "tRNA". From Rfam's summary of the family: Transfer RNA (tRNA) molecules are approximately 80 nucleotides in length. Their secondary structure includes four short double-helical elements and three loops (D, anti-codon, and T loops). Lineage: Eukaryota; Fungi; Ascomycota; Sordariomycetes; Hypocreales; Nectriaceae. The record is from RNAcentral.